GAUGGUGCCACUGAAAAUGGCACUGAAAGAAUUCACGGGGUAUAAUUUUACACACCGCCCGUAGUUCUUCUGUGCCUUGCUCGGUGACCAUU
Non-coding RNA from Cinara cedri, 92 nucleotides. The record is from the annotation of a GenBank genome assembly. NCBI's taxonomy places the organism in Eukaryota, Metazoa, Arthropoda, Insecta, Hemiptera, Aphididae.